GUGGAUGACCGAGGGAAAGUGAUUGAAAACAAGUUGUUAGAAAUGUUUACAUGACUGGUGCGGCGAACAAAGUGUUGGCCGUGGCUGUACGACGUUCUGUGUUGAAUCCAACCAUUUUUCUAUGGCAGCCUCAGAUUGACCAAUAUCAUGACUGAAAUAAUUAAAAGGUAUAUUGCUGUGAUGAUGAUGUGGAAGUAAUAAGCAAAGAUGGCUUAACAAUAACAGCAGCAGCAACAGCCGCAGCAAAUGAACAGGAACUUCACUCCGUCUCACCACCUGUGCUAACGAGCAAAAACACAAAGUCCACACCUUUAAUGAAAUUGCAUUAACCCUUCAGCAUUUAAACCCUUCAUCUCUGACUCACAUAUUCUACCUGUUUAUAUUCAGACUGGCCUGAUCCAGCCUCUCAUGUCUAUCCUACAAUGUCAUUCUAAAAAAUGAACAAUCCUAUUAUUGAAAUAAUGAAAGUACAAGAAAAUUCGUGAUUAAUUCAAACCAAUAUGAAUGGAUCAGUAUUUCGCUCGACAGAUUAAUCUGAAUGCUCAAGGGCCAACCCUUUUGCAUUUAAACCAGCCAUAUCUGGUCUCUUACACUUACCCUGUAAUGCCAUUCUAAAAAUAUACAACUGCAUCGUUGAAAAUGACGUGAAUGAUUAAUUACAUUUGACUAAUUUGAGUGCUAAAGUGUUAACGAAAUACUGAAAAAAAUGUAUAGUAUUGUAUGCUUUAUAAAACAUACAUUUGAACACUCAUAUCUUCUGAAUAUUUGGCAAAACAUUUAGUGUUCCAUCGGGCGGUUUACUCUUACAACUACAUGUUUUUGUAAUAACUACCUACAGCAACAAUGAGAAGCACUCUUGUCGACCCACGCGCAUUCAAGUGUCCGCACUGCAGCAAAAGCUUUCACUGCUCCAGUCACUUGACCACCCAUGUGAGGACACAUACCGGGGAAAGACCUUACAAGUGCGGCCAGUGUCCGAAGUCGUUUGCGCUACUUGGCAACCUGACAGCGCAUGUGCGCACCCACACGGGCGAAAAGCCGUACAGCUGUAAGUUCUGCACCAAGUCGUUCACGCAGUCGACCAACCUGAAUGUCCACAUGCGGGUACACACUGGAGAGCGGCCGUACAAAUGCGAGCGAUGCCAGAAAGCCUUCAAGACAAGUGGUGCACUCAACGGCCAUGUGAAAUCCUGCUACAAAAUUGUGCGACGGUUUGCAGCACCUGUUUUACGACAGAACAACACCAGUGGUAGUGCACUUGGUGCAUCUUAUGCAGGGCGCUCAACUACCGCUUCCAGUACGGUUCGCAAUACCGAGAAACUAGUUCCAACCAUAAACAUACAACGUACUCUUCCUAGUGAUUCAUCAUUGAGACCAUCUGUGGCUGUUUCCUGUGAGACCAGUUCUAGUUCGUUACCGUAUAGCAACAGUAGCUUGUUUAAUUACCGUAGGAGAAAGAUCUCCGACAUUAUCGCCAAGAAGCGAUUCGGUGGAGCACCAACAGUGUCAAUGUGUAAGCCUUUGAAUGUUAGCUCUGUAACUCGAAAUUGUGGUUCUACAAGCAGUACUCUAUGUACUGCAGAAAAGAAACCAUCUUGUGCAAACUUGAACACAUUUAAGCAGGAAACCACACCUAAUCUUACCCCUGUAAAUGGUAUUUUUGAAAGCCGCCAACACAGUAAGUCAGGAUUUCCUAGAGAAUCUCUCAAAGAUGGCAGUAAUAUGGUGGCAGCAACAACAGCGGCUGCAUCUUCUAAGUUAUUGGAGAGGGAGAUGAUCUCCGAGGAUCAAAACUUUAAUAUUUAUGAUGAUGUUCACAAGUCUACUUCUAGUGAAACACAACAGACCUCUACAAUCACUGCAGCCAACAGCUUUGAAGAUAGCAAAGAUUUCCUAGUUUCCUCAACAGGUUUCUCCCAGCAACCGACCAUUCAUUCCAAUGGAGACAGCCUUACAGUGGAUUUCAAUUCACUGGUGUCUUUAUCAGAGAUUUCUCAAGACAAAAUUGAGGAUGUCUUCUAUCAGCAGAGCCACAGGCAAACGGGAGGGGCAGCUGUGCAGUUCAGCCAAAGUGGAAUUGUUGAUGGUCAGCCUCUUGAGUCGAGGUCAGCAGAAAAACAUUUGCCAGAGAACGGUGGGGCACCUUGUCCUCAACAAGAUAGGAGGAGCAGAGAUGGGACUAACUAUGGUACUGUUCCCAGAAAUACACUAUCCAGAAGCAAUGCUCAGACUGGUCGUGAGAGGAACAUUUCUUUGGCCACACGAUUACACCAGAAACCUCCAAGAUCCACUCACAGUUCUGACAAACUUAACUUCUGUAGAAUACAAUCACCGUUUCUUACAGAUUCUAUGGCACUGUCCAGUGAGAGAUCUGUUCCGGGUUUAACUCAUUCUUCACCUGACUCGGCUAAUUCACGUCUGGCCUUUCUGGAAGUUUCUACCUACACCCAGAUCUUUAAAUGUAAACUUUGCAAUUUGGUCUUUGAGACGAAAGAUGAUUUUCUCCACCACACGCCUCUCCACGAGGACGAUGAGCUGCUCGUCUGCAAAUUCUGUGAAAUGGAUUUUAAAACCCCACUGGACCUUGUCCUUCAUCAGAAAGAUCACAAUCUACCGGAACAGCUUUGUGAACUCUGCGACCAAAUGGUUUUAUCGACACGCUUUGCUGCUCACUUGAAUCUGCAUGCAACUGCAAUGAACCGAACAGCACAAGAGACCAGAAUUUUUUGGUGCCAUUUCUGUGAUAAAUCUUUCGUAGACCAGUCAUAUCUUGAUCUUCAUUUGCGGGUGCACUCAAUACAGAAACCCUUGCAUUUUAGCUCAUCUGAACAAUUACAGUCGAAAACUCACCAUCAGCAUAGGAAACCCCUUCAUGAAAAACCCUUGAAAUCUUUUAAGUGUCCGUAUUGUCAGAAGAAAUUCCAUUAUUCUAAAAACCUCAUUGCACACAUGCAUUCCCAUUCUGUUCAGCGUUUAUACAAGUGUAAGAAAUGUCCAAGAGUCCUUAGAACUGUCCAACGUUUUAAUAUUCAUCAGAAAAUCUGUCCAAAGAAAUAUCGGCACCAUUCCAAGAAAACUGCACCAUUUAGUCACUCAAAGACAACAUCAUGGCAAAACAGUUGCAGCAAUGAUGGUACCAACAGCCACCUUCCAGAACAUUCCACCAGAAACGGUACUGCUGUAGGUUUUAAGCAAAAUAUAACCGAAAGCAUGGAAGUGUCCCAAAGCCCUGAUUCUGUGAUAGGAGAUAAACUAGAGAGUGUAGAAUGCCUUCAGGAGAAUACACAGGUUCCAUGUGCUGAUGAUGGCACUGAUAAUGGUCUGCAGAGCACUGAGGAUGGCCAGUCGCCUUUGCAGGAGUUUGUUGAGGGUCAGGUGGUGAAAGAAAGAGAUGUUGACCAAAGUGUCAAUUCAGACAAAGUUUUGUUGAGAUGUUUGUGUUGCCAGAUGAAUUUCUCAUCUAAAUUGUUGCUCUUACAACACGUCAGCAGCCAGCACAGCUCAGAGGGCCAGUGUCAGUUCUGUGGAAGACCUUUGGAUGUUGAUAACGACCUGGUUAGUCAUAUUAACUGCUACACCACUUCAACAAGCAUUUACAGAAACUGCAGAUAUUGUCCGGAAGGGUUUUCUGAUACUGAUAGUUACCAGAGUCAUUUGUCUGCCGUACACAAAAUGCACACUGAGGCCCAAGAACCAGAUGAUGAAGUUGUAGAUGUUGACCCAUCCAGUGAAGAAGUCGCCAGUGUUGACCUCGAAAGCGUUCCCAGUUCGGGGAUCGGUUUUGUAAACUGCACUGACCAGGCAAAACAAUCAAGGAAACAGCCCCAUGUAUUUCCACGUGCGCAAGUGCACUUCCAGCCACGUAACAAGUGUCAUAACUGCGGUCGCACUUUCUCUUCAGCAUCUCAGCUGUACGUUCAUCUCGUUAAAGCCCACGAUCGUCUACAGCCUCACCGAUGUCAUUACUGCAAAAGACUUUUCAAAAAUUGCACGAAUUUCUACAUGCAUGUCUGCUCGCAUGCCCCUAAAGAGAGUUCGUACGAGUGCAAGUUGUGUUGCAAGAGUUUUACGCAGCCUGAGAAUCUCAGAACACAUCUUCAAACGCAUAAUGGUGACAGACCAUUCCGGUGUAAAUUCUGUGGCAAGUUUUUCAGUAAGCCCGACAACUUGAAUGCGCAUCUGCGAGUGCACACCAACGAGAGACCGUUUCUGUGUCAUCACUGCAACUCUGCAUUUAAAACAUCCGCCGCACGCAACGUGCACAUUCAAAACUGCACCGUGAAAAGGUUGAAGAAAAAAGCCGUUUCUCAUUCCAUGGAUUAUGGUGUUCAAGAGAAGAAAGCACUGACUUCACGGUUCACUGGUUCUCAGUCAGAGUUGAGCAACAAUGCUGUUGAGGUACCGGUUAUUGCGGCAGUAAAAGACAAUUCUCCUGAAACUUUACCAAUUCUAGAAAACAAAAAAGAAUCUUUGGAAUCAGUUCCUGCAAAUAAAAGUACAGAAGAACAGUUAGAAAAAUCUCCCACAAUGCUACACAUUUUAGUCUCCGAUCCCCAGCAAGAAUUACAUACAGUCGACAUGAAACCGACGCCAACAGAGCUCUGCAAUGAUGGCUCUCUACCGACCAUACAAGGGUUUUACCAAAAUAAAUUCUGUACUGACAAUUUGUCGGUAUCAAAUUCUUCCAAAUCUUUGAAUUAUUCGACAUCUUCGCCCAACAUGAAUGGUUCCGAGGCAAAAGACGUGAUUCCUACGAGUGAGAUUGGUAGUAGUAGUAGUAGUAAUUAUUCCACUGUUGCAUCGGAGAAGUCUGUGAGUCAUUUGGAGGCAGAGCCUGAAAGUUUGGAUGAACCUAAGAACAUUUCACUCGGGUUUGAUUCCACGACCAAGUUAGUCGACAGAUCUUAUCUCACCCCUAAUGAGAAUAAACAUUCAUUGCUGGAGGGUGAUGGCAGUUUCUUUAACAAGAGGGUGGAGGCAGAAACUAAAGACUGCAAACAAGAUCAUUAUAAAAUAAUUAACGAUUUACCAAAGUCUGAGGAGGUAGGAAGAUCACUGGGACUUUACACUUCUCAGAAUUCUUCAGCUGUUACAGGAGGCGGCGGAGCUGGCAUUAACGUUGCCAGUGUUUCUAUUCAGGAUGAAGAAAAGCCAUCAUUUACUGUCGCUUCAAGCCCUGUUAAUGUGAUCGAAUCCGCUGACGACAAACUCGGGCUGGAGUUGAACCUGAAGUCACCAGAGGAUGCAGUUCCGCCACUAUUUAAGUGCCUAAAGUGUUUCCGUAUGUUCAACUCAGCUCCUGAAUACACUGACCACUUACUGACCCACGUGUGGGCGUCCACCCCCAGCUCGACGUCUUCACCGGUCGGCUCCGGCUCGCAAACGUACUCGACUCCGGUCGACCAGUUUGAGCCCAGCAACGCUGACACUCCUCCACCCUUGACCACACAUCAAACAUUGCUUCCACCACCACCUUCGCAUCUUUCGUCCACCUUGGAUCAGCAGCAAACAAGUACUAGCAGCAGCAGCAGCAGCAGUAGUAGUAGUAUUCGUCCCGGCCUGUCAGGUCCUCAGUCAAUGCUGUAUUCGCUACAGCAACAGCAGCAACCGCCGGCCCUUGAACAGAACCCACAAACCCCUGAUGAUUCCAAGACACAACUCAUCAAGUGCAAACAAUGUCCAAAGAAAUUCACAAAAAUCUACAGUCUUGCCGUCCACAUGAAAUCUCAUUACCAACAACAGCAACAACCAAAGCAACAACUACAACUGCAACAACAACAACACCAACACGUCUGCAAAAUCUGUCCCGGUACGGAGGUGUUCCCGACUGCCGAGGACCUCAGCGAACAUUUGAAGCACCAUUGCGAGUUUCGCUGCAAGUUCUGUCAGAAGGUGGUGCACAGUGCAUCGCAGCUGUACACGCAUAUGCGGACGCACACGGGCGAGAAGCCGUUCCAUUGUCCGCAUUGCCCGAAGACAUUUGCUGUGAACUGCAACCUCAUUGCACACGUGCGAAUCCAUACGGGGGAGCGCCCAUUCAGGUGCCAGUAUUGCGACAAGUCGUUUGCCCAGGCGACCAACCUCAAUGUGCAUACGCGCAUACACACAGGGGAACGGCCAUACCUUUGCAGCAAAUGCAAGAGGGCCUUCCGCACAUCUAGUGCUCUCAAGGGUCACCUCAAGUGCUGCCCAGUCCCAAUAUAAAGCUUGGUUGUUCCAGGGAAUGGACAACAGACGAAUAGACGGACUGAGGAAUGGAGGAGUAGAUGAACAAGAAGGUGUGUGGGCAGACACAGAGACAUAUUCGGACAGGUAGAUGGGUGAAUAGAGAUGGGAAGUAGCAUGUGUUAUAAUACUGGUAGUGUGUAUAUGUUUGGGUUGAGAAGGUGGGUGAUCUGUUAGUUAAAAGGGUGGAUUGUUUGGCUGAUUGGUUGAAUGAGAUGGCCGGGUGUGAUUGUUUGGAUGAUGACCGUUUCUUGUGGCUGACUGGAAAUUCAGCUUGUUUUGGUGCUGGAGGCAAACACACACACACAUAGAGAAAUACACACGUAAAUUGAGUGAGUGAGAGAGAGAGAGACAUUACACAGACAUUGAAGCAUAACAAAAUGAUUGCACACUUAACCCUUUUGUUACUGUAUUUAUUUUGAGAUGCUCUGUGUUUCUUUCAAUUAAUUUUAAAUAUAGCAAAGAAUUUAGUAAAAUAACUUAGUUAUC
This 6714-nucleotide unclassified non-coding RNA is filed under the name Octopus sinensis (East Asian common octopus). RNAcentral describes it as "zinc finger protein 236-like, transcript variant X2". Lineage: Eukaryota; Metazoa; Mollusca; Cephalopoda; Octopoda; Octopodidae. The record is from RNAcentral.